AGUGAACGCUGGCGGUAGGCCUAACACAUGCAAGUCGAACGGCAGCACAGUAAGAGCUUGCUCUUACGGGUGGCGAGUGGCGACGGGUGAGGAAUACAUCGGAAUCUACUUUUUCGUGGGGGAUAACGUAGGGAAACUUACGCUAAUACCGCAUACGACCUACGGGUGAAAGCAGGGGAUCUUCGGACCUUGCGCGAUUGAAUGAGCCGAUGUCGGAUUAGCUAGUUGGCGGGGUAAAGGCCCACCAAGGCGACGAUCCGUAGCUGGUCUGAGAGGAUGAUCAGCCACACUGGAACUGAGACACGGUCCAGACUCCUACGGGAGGCAGCAGUGGGGAAUAUUGGACAAUGGGCGCAAGCCUGAUCCGGCCAUACCGCGUGGGUGAAGAAGGCCUUCGGGUUGUAAAGCCCUUUUGUUGGGAAAGAAAAGCAGCAGGUUAAUACCCCGCUGUUCUGACGGUACCCAAAGAAUAAGCACCGGCUAACUUCGUG
This 491-nucleotide ribosomal RNA is filed under the name uncultured bacterium. RNAcentral's name for it is "partial 16S ribosomal RNA". It matches the Rfam family "Bacterial small subunit ribosomal RNA", at positions 29 to 507 of the family's 1533-position model. The record is from RNAcentral.